Molecule: non-coding RNA, 232 nt
Organism: Cinara cedri
Lineage: Eukaryota; Metazoa; Arthropoda; Insecta; Hemiptera; Aphididae
Source: the annotation of a GenBank genome assembly
CUAUUGUUACCGUCGGUAGUUUUUGUAUUUUCGAUCGUACUAAAUGCACGCGUUUUACUUACGCUCGUGUCGCGACCGCGGCACCGGGGAGUUUCGUUGGUAACAAUAAUUGCAUCGCGACGAUAACAUUUCGAUUCGAAAACAGCAACGCGACCGAUUCGCGUGUCGGCGAAAUGGGGAGAUUUUCAAUACUUCGGAAUUCCGGUUCAUUUGUCGAAGACGCGAACGAAAG